Molecule: small nuclear RNA, 163 nt
Filed under: Staphylococcus aureus
Lineage: Bacteria; Bacillati; Bacillota; Bacilli; Caryophanales; Staphylococcaceae
Description: SAUSA300s267
Source: RNAcentral
CCAAUUUCUUAUUAUUAUCUGUAAGAGAAAGAUUCUCUGGAAAUAUAAGUACACCGUAGUUAUAGUUAUCUUCGACAGUGAAGUCAGAAGCUUUUAACUUCAAAUCGUCUUGGCUUUUUAAAAAUGAACCAUUAACAAUAUCUUCAAUAUAAGUACCUUUUCC